UGAGGAAUAUUCGGCAAUGGGGGAACCCUGACCGAGCAACGCCGCGUGGAGGAUGACGGUUUUUGGAUUGUAAACUCCUUUUCUCAGGGAAGAGUGAGGACGGUACCUGAGGAAUAAGUCACGGCUAACUACGUGCCAGCAGCCGCGGUAAUACGUAGGUGGCAAGCGUUAUCCGGAAUUACUGGGCGUAAAGCGCACGCAGGUGGCCUGUUAAGACUGACGUGAAAGCUCCUGGCUUAACUGGGAGAGGUCGUUGGAGACUGGCAGGCUUGAGGCGAGGAGAGGGGUGUAGAAUUCCCGGUGUAGUGGUGGAAUGCGUAGAGAUCGGGAGGAAUACCAGUGGCGAAAGCGGCACCCUGGCCUUGGCCUGACGCUCAGGUGCGAAAGCGUGGGGAGCGAACG
Molecule: ribosomal RNA, 402 nt
Filed under: uncultured bacterium
Lineage: Bacteria
Description: bacterial SSU rRNA
Rfam family: Bacterial small subunit ribosomal RNA
Source: RNAcentral